AUUAUUUGAGGUGGAAAAUUUCGCACGAUCCACACGCCGCUGGUACAGACAAGGGAAACCUGAGAGAUGCAGGAGAAGCGUGCGCCUGCCAAAUAAU
Molecule: small RNA, 97 nt
Organism: Clostridium sp. CAG:7
Lineage: Bacteria; Bacillati; Bacillota; Clostridia; Eubacteriales; Clostridiaceae
Rfam family: skipping-rope RNA
About the family: Firmicutes, Fusobacteria, AlphaProteobacteria, Spirochaetes. Downstream gene
Source: Rfam